RNAcentral lists this ribosomal RNA (302 nucleotides) under uncultured bacterium. RNAcentral's name for it is "partial 16S ribosomal RNA". It matches the Rfam family "Bacterial small subunit ribosomal RNA", at positions 508 to 807 of the family's 1533-position model. The record is from RNAcentral.
GCAGCCGCCACGGUAAUACGGAGGGAGCUAGCGUUGUUCGGAAUUACUGGGCGUAAAGCGCACGUAGGCGGCUUUGUAAGUCAGAGGUGAAAGCCUGGAGCUCAACUCCAGAACUGCCUUUGAGACUGCAUCGCUUGAAUCCAGGAGAGGUGAGUGGAAUUCCGAGUGUAGAGGUGAAAUUCGUAGAUAUUCGGAAGAACACCAGUGGCGAAGGCGGCUCACUGGACUGGUAUUGACGCUGAGGUGCGAAAGCGUGGGGAGCAAACAGGAUUAGAUACCCCAGUAGUCCCUGUCUCUUAUAC